ACAGAGGGUGCGAGCGUUAAUCGGAAUUACUGGGCGUAAAGGGUGCGUAGGUGGUUACGUAAGUUAGGUGUGAAAUUCCUGGGCUCAACCUGGGGACUGCGCCUAAUACUGCGAGACUAGAGUACUGUAGAGGAAGGUGGAAUUUCCAGUGUAGCGGUGAAAUGCGUAGAUAUUGGAAGGAACAUCGGUGGCGAAGGCGACCUUCUGGACAGAUACUGACACUGAGGCACGAAAGCAUGGGGAGCAAACAGGAUUAGAUACCCUGGUAGUCCAUGCCGUAAACGAUGAAGACUGGCUGUUGGAAACCUUAGGGUUUUUAGUAGCGAAGCUAACGCGUUAAGUCUUCCGCCUGGGGAGUACGGCCGCAAGGUUA
Molecule: ribosomal RNA, 373 nt
Filed under: uncultured bacterium
Lineage: Bacteria
Description: bacterial SSU rRNA
Rfam family: Bacterial small subunit ribosomal RNA
Source: RNAcentral